Molecule: ribosomal RNA, 120 nt
Filed under: Gossypium hirsutum (cotton)
Lineage: Eukaryota; Viridiplantae; Streptophyta; Magnoliopsida; Malvales; Malvaceae
Source: RNAcentral
GGGUACGAUCAUACCAGCACUAAUGCACCGGAUCCCAUCAGAACUCCGCAGUUAAGAGUGCUUUGGCGAGAGUAGUACUAGGUUCGAUUGACCUCCUGGGAAGUCCUCGUGUUGCACCCC